CAGGUGUCUCGUCCACGACCGGGCCAGGGUGGUGGCCCACAACAUCUCCUUCCCAUGGAACGGAUGCCGGUUUGGCCCUGAGGCUGGUGAAUGGAGGUGACCGGUGUCAGGGCCGGGUGGAGGUCCUGUACCGAGGUUCCUGGGGCACCGUGUGUGACGACGGCUGGGACACUAAUGACGCUAACGUGGUCUGCAGGCAGCUGGGCUGUGGCUGGGCCAGGUCGGCCCCAGGAAAUGCCCGGUUUGGCCAGGGCUCAGGGG
This is a non-coding RNA of Microcebus murinus (gray mouse lemur), 261 nucleotides long. The record is from RefSeq and is a predicted model, not a curated record. NCBI's taxonomy places the organism in Eukaryota, Metazoa, Chordata, Mammalia, Primates, Cheirogaleidae.